AUGGGCGCAAGCCUGAUGCAGCCAUGCCGCGUGUGUGAAGAAGGCCUUCGGGUUGUAAAGCACUUUCAGAUCGUGAGGAAGGUAGUGUAGUUAAUAGCUGCAUUAUUUGACGUUAGCGACAGAAGAAGCACCGGCUAACUCCGUGCCAGCAGCCGCGGUAAUACGGAGGGUGCGAGCGUUAAUCGGAAUUACUGGGCGUAAAGCGCAUGCAGGUGGUUUGUUAAGUCAGAUGUGAAAGCCCGGGGCUCAACCUCGGAAUUGCAUUUGAAACUGGCAGACUAGAGUACUGUAGAGGGGGGUAGAAUUUCAGGUGUAGCGGUGAAAUGCGUAGAGAUCUGAAGGAAUACCGGUGGCGAAGGCGGCCCCCUGGACAGAUACUGACACUCAGAUGCGAAAGCGUGGGGAGCAAACAGGAUUAGAUACCCUGGUAGUCCACGCCGUAAACGAUGUCUACUUGGAGGUUGUGGCCUUGAGCCGUGGCUUUCGGAGCUAACGCGUUAAGUAGACCGCCUGG
This 514-nucleotide ribosomal RNA is filed under the name Vibrio sp. 2Bb2S37. Its description in RNAcentral is "bacterial SSU rRNA". It matches the Rfam family "Bacterial small subunit ribosomal RNA", at positions 371 to 876 of the family's 1533-position model. Lineage: Bacteria; Pseudomonadati; Pseudomonadota; Gammaproteobacteria; Vibrionales; Vibrionaceae. The record is from RNAcentral.